RNAcentral lists this ribosomal RNA (253 nucleotides) under uncultured bacterium. RNAcentral describes it as "partial 16S ribosomal RNA". It matches the Rfam family "Bacterial small subunit ribosomal RNA", at positions 524 to 776 of the family's 1533-position model. The record is from RNAcentral.
UACGGAGGGGGCUAGCGUUGUUCGGAAUUACUGGGCGUAAAGCGCACGUAGGCGGCUUUGUAAGUUAGAGGUGAAAGCCCGGAGCUCAACUCCGGAAUUGCCUUUAAGACUGCAUCGCUAGAAUUGUGGAGAGGUGAGUGGAAUUCCGAGUGUAGAGGUGAAAUUCGUAGAUAUUCGGAAGAACACCAGUGGCGAAGGCGACUCACUGGCUCGACACUGACGCUGAGGUGCGAAAGCGUGGGGAGCAAACAGG